RNAcentral lists this small RNA (579 nucleotides) under Pan troglodytes (chimpanzee). RNAcentral describes it as "processed transcript". The record is from RNAcentral. Lineage: Eukaryota; Metazoa; Chordata; Mammalia; Primates; Hominidae.
GGUCAUGUAUCAGUUGCUCAUCCAGUGGACGUCCAAUCAGUUAGUUGGCCAUUCAUUCAUUCAUUCAUGCAGGCAUCCAGUUAUAAAGACAUCCAUUCACCCACUCAACAGAAAUCUGCUGAGAGCCUACUACGUGCUGGGAACUAUUUUCACAUCGGAGACAAAACAGAGGGUGACAUGAAGAGCACGGCCCACUUGGAGCCUACGGAGAUGGCGUUGAGCGGUUUCGCAGGAGAGCUCCUGCCCCGGAGGAUUGAUGCCCAGCACCUGGCUCAUCCUCCCCACACCCCUAGCUCUUCUCCCGCUUUGCUCCUUCCAGCUGGGGUGAGCAUGGGGUCCCAACCCCGCUGGUGAGAAGCUCGAGGUAGGGAUGAAGCGGAGAAUGGAAAAGUCACUCCUGAAGCCAUUGGCUUCUUGUCUGCUGUUGGGGUCUUUAUUGUUCUUCUGGCCGUCCUCUUCCUCUUCAUCAACAAGAAGCUGUGUUUUGAAACGAUAGGAGGCCUUCCUUUCCUGGAGCAUCGAGGGAAAAGAAAGCAUUCUAAAGACAAGACUGGGAUUCACAAGGGGCUGGGUAAGCAU